UGAAYGACUCUCGGCAACGGAUAUCUCGGCUCUUGCAUCGAUGAAGAACGUAGCGAAAUGCGAUACUUGGUGUGAAUUGCAGAAUCCCGUGAACCAUCGAGUCUUUGAACGCAAGUUGCGCCYGAGGCCUUCUGGUCGAGGGCACGUCURCCUGGGCGUCRCGC
This 164-nucleotide ribosomal RNA is filed under the name Thalictrum sparsiflorum. RNAcentral describes it as "5.8S ribosomal RNA". It matches the Rfam family "5.8S ribosomal RNA". From Rfam's summary of the family: 5.8S ribosomal RNA (5.8S rRNA) is a component of the large subunit of the eukaryotic ribosome. The record is from RNAcentral. Lineage: Eukaryota; Viridiplantae; Streptophyta; Magnoliopsida; Ranunculales; Ranunculaceae.